AUCCUCACCGUCACGCCGCGCCCGGUCUCAAAUCCCGCUUCUUUAAGCCAGUCGCUCUUAAGGUGCAGGCUGGGGUCGCGUGAAUAUCCGGUGGGGACUUUGGUUUACGGUUUGUGUGGGA
RNAcentral lists this small RNA (121 nucleotides) under Citrobacter sedlakii. RNAcentral's name for it is "isrA Hfq binding RNA". It matches the Rfam family "isrA Hfq binding RNA". The record is from RNAcentral. Lineage: Bacteria; Pseudomonadati; Pseudomonadota; Gammaproteobacteria; Enterobacterales; Enterobacteriaceae.